RNAcentral lists this ribosomal RNA (253 nucleotides) under uncultured bacterium. RNAcentral's name for it is "partial 16S ribosomal RNA". It matches the Rfam family "Bacterial small subunit ribosomal RNA", at positions 524 to 776 of the family's 1533-position model. The record is from RNAcentral.
UACGGAGGGUGCAAGCGUUAAUCGGAAUUACUGGGCGUAAAGCGCACGCAGGUGGCUGAGUCAGUCGAUUGUGAAAGCCCUGGGCUUAACCUGGGAAUUGCAGUCGAUACUACUCAGCUAGAGUAUGGGAGAGGGUAGUGGAAUUCCCGGUGUAGCGGUGAAAUGCGUAGAUAUCGGGAGGAACAUCAGUGGCGAAGGCGGCUCACUGGACCGGUUCUGACGCUGAGGCGCGAAAGCGUGGGGAGCAAACGGG